CCGUCAAUUCCUUUGAGUUUCACCCUUGCGAGCAUACUCCCCAGGCGGUGCACUUAUCGCGUUGACUUCGGCACAGAGCACCGACGUGCCCCACGCCUAGUGCACAUCGUUUACAGCGUGGACUACCAGGGUAUCUAAUCCUGUUUGCUCCCCACGCUUUCGCGCCUCAGCGUCAGUCCUCGAAUAGAAGCUCGCCUUCGCCACCGGUGUUCUUCCUGAUCUCUACAGAUUUCACUCCUACACCAGGAAUUCCAGCUUCCCCCCCGGAACUCUAGCCCGUCAGUUUCCAGCGCACCCGCAGGGUUAAGCCCUGCGAUUUCACACCAGACUUCUCGGGCCGCCUACACGCCCUUUACGCCCAAUAACUCCGAACAACGCUCGCCCCAUACGUAUUACCGCGGCUGCUGGCACGUAGUUGGCCGGGGCUUAUUCGCAGGCUAACGUCAUCAGCGGGGCUUUCCACUCCCCACCUUAUUCUUCACCUGCAAAAGGACUUUACAACCUUACGGCCUUCAUCGUCCACGCGGCGUCGCUCCGUCAGGGUUGCCCCCAUUGCGGAAGAUUCUUAGCUGCUGCCUCCCGUAGGAGU
Molecule: ribosomal RNA, 589 nt
Filed under: uncultured bacterium
Lineage: Bacteria
Description: partial 16S ribosomal RNA
Source: RNAcentral